Molecule: ribosomal RNA, 201 nt
Filed under: uncultured bacterium
Lineage: Bacteria
Description: partial 16S ribosomal RNA
Rfam family: Bacterial small subunit ribosomal RNA
Source: RNAcentral
AGGAAGAUUAAUACCGCAUAAGAUUGUAGUAUCGCAUGAUAUAGCAAUUAAAGGAGCAAUUCGCUAUAAGAUGGACCCGCGUCGCAUUAGCUAGUUGGUGAGGUAAUGGCUCACCAAGGCGACGAUGCGUAGCCGACCUGAGAGGGUGAUCGGCCACAUUGGGACUGAGACACGGCCCAGACUCCUACGGGAGGCAGCAUG